RNAcentral lists this ribosomal RNA (490 nucleotides) under uncultured bacterium. RNAcentral describes it as "partial 16S ribosomal RNA". It matches the Rfam family "Bacterial small subunit ribosomal RNA", at positions 30 to 507 of the family's 1533-position model. The record is from RNAcentral.
AUUGAACGCUGGCGGCAUGCCUUACACAUGCAAGUCGAACGGCAGCAUGAUCUAGCUUGCUAGAUUGAUGGCGAGUGGCGCACGGGUGAGUAAUACAUCGGAACGUGCCCUGUAGUGGGGGAUAACUAGUCGAAAGAUUAGCUAAUACCGCAUACGACCUGAGGGUGAAAGUGGGGGACCGCAAGGCCUCAUGCUAUAGGAGCGGCCGAUGUCUGAUUAGCUAGUUGGUGAGGUAAAGGCUCACCAAGUCGACGAUCAGUAGCUGGUCUCAGAGGACGAUCAGCCACACUGGGACUGAGACACGGUCCAGACUCCUACGGGAGGCAGCAGUGGGGAAUUUUGGACAAUGGGCGAAAGCCUGAUCCAGCAAUGCCGCGUGUGUGAAGAAGGCCUUCGGGUUGUAAAGCACUUUUGUCCGGAAAGAAAUGGCUCUGGUUAAUACCUGGGGUCGAUGACGUUACCGGAAGAAUAAGGACCGGCUAACUACGUG